GACGAACGCUGGCGGCGUGCUUAACACAUGCAAGUCGAACGGACAGGCCCUGCUUUUGUGGGGUGCUCGAGUGGCGAACGGGUGAGUAACACGUGAGUAACCUGCCCUUGACUUUGGGAUAACUUCAGGAAACUGGGGCUCAUAUCGGAUAGGAGCUCCUGCUGCAUGGUGGGGGUUGGAAAGUUUCGGCGGUUGGGGAUGGACUCGCGGCUUAUCAGCUUGUUGGUGGGGUAGUGGCUUACCAAGGCUUUGACGGGUAGCCGGCCUGAGAGGGUGACCGGCCACAUUGGGACUGAGAGACGGCCCAGACUCCUACGGGAGGCAGCAGUGGGGAAUCUUGCGCAAUGGGCGGGAGCCUGAUGCAGCAACGCCGCGUGCGGGAUGACGGCCUUCGGGGUGUAAACCGCUUUCGCCUGUGACGAAGCGUGAGUGACGGUAAUGGGUAAAGAAGCACCGGCUAACUACGUG
Molecule: ribosomal RNA, 468 nt
Filed under: uncultured bacterium
Lineage: Bacteria
Description: partial 16S ribosomal RNA
Rfam family: Bacterial small subunit ribosomal RNA
Source: RNAcentral